This 555-nucleotide ribosomal RNA is filed under the name Macrogenioglottus alipioi (Bahia forest frog). RNAcentral describes it as "partial large subunit ribosomal RNA". It matches the Rfam family "Bacterial large subunit ribosomal RNA", at positions 1852 to 2607 of the family's 2925-position model. Lineage: Eukaryota; Metazoa; Chordata; Amphibia; Anura; Alsodidae. The record is from RNAcentral.
GUCCAGCCUGCCCAGUGACUCUGUUCAACGGCCGCGGUAUCCUAACCGUGCGAAGGUAGCGUAAUCACUUGUUCUUUAAAUGAGGACUAGUAUGAAUGGCACCACGAAGGUUACACUGUCUCCUUUUUCUAAUCAGUAAAACUAAUCUUCCCGUGAAGAAGCGGGAAUUUUUAUAUAAGACGAGAAGACCCUAUGGAGCUUUAAACGAAAUAACAACUACCUCUAUUACUCCAAUUUCAGAAGACAAGCAUUAAUUCUGGUAUAAUGAUUACUAGUUUUAGGUUGGGGUGACCGCGGAGCAAAAAACAACCUCCGCACUGAAUGGACCUACACUCCUAAGCAAAAAGCUACAACUUUAUGCAUCAACAAAUUGACAUCCAUUGACCCAAUAAUUUGAUCAACGAACCAAGUUACCCUAGGGAUAACAGCGCAAUCCAUUUCAAGAGCUCCUAUCGACAAAUGGGUUUACGACCUCGAUGUUGGAUCAGGGUAUCCCAGUGGUGCAGCCGCUACUAAAGGUUCGUUUGUUCAACGAUUAAAACCCUACGUGAUCUG